AUGCCUUUGUAAAAUUCUCACAUUGGCAAAGGAACAAUAAAUAAUUUAUAAAUUACUAAAAAAAUAUUUUACUAGUCCAAAUAUCUAUAAUUAAUUUAAAUUCAAUAUACUUAAAUCUAAUAAAAAUAAUGAAGACUAUCUAGAUGUUGUAGAUUCAAUAAUGAAAAUUAUAUCAAAAAUAAUAAGAGAAUAGUAUUAUCAAAAUGAUCAUCAAAUAUUCCAAUUUGACUGAGUUAAGAUAUUGAAUAAAAAAAAAUUAACAAUGUCAC
Molecule: long non-coding RNA, 269 nt
Filed under: Elaeis guineensis (African oil palm)
Lineage: Eukaryota; Viridiplantae; Streptophyta; Magnoliopsida; Arecales; Arecaceae
Description: long non-coding RNA (EGUI_LNC051650)
Source: RNAcentral